RNAcentral lists this small RNA (125 nucleotides) under Marmota monax (woodchuck). Lineage: Eukaryota; Metazoa; Chordata; Mammalia; Rodentia; Sciuridae. The record is from RNAcentral.
GCUGGGCAUGGUGGCACAUACCUGUAAUCCCAGCAGCCCAGGAGGCUGAGGCAGGAGGAUCAUAAGUUCAAAGCCAGCCUCAGCAACAGCGAGGUGCUAAGCAACUCCAUGAGACCUUGUCUCUA